UGACUUGUGUAACCAAGUGGAUACUGGUUCCAUUUAUUGAGAACCAGGUUUGAGAGAGAAGGUCACUGCUUUUGAAUGUUCAAGUGCUUGGAGACAUUUAGUAGCCAGUUAGACACAAAACUAGAAUACAAAGAAAUUCUUUCUAGAAAUACAUAUUUUGGUUCAUUUAUAUACCAUAAAUAACUAUAUAUGAGAUAUAACAUACAUUUCCCCCUAUUUAAACUAUUCUGAUAUCACUCAACAACUCCUUAGAACUAUCAAGAAGAAUUAAGGACACGCGACCAAAGUAUUUGAAAACUGACAAAUUCUGUAUAUGUCUUCUCUUAUUCAUCUAUUUAUCUUACAUUCUAAGAAAUUUCACAAUUGCUAAUUAUAAAAAGAUUAUUGUCAAGCAGAUAGAAACAGAAUCUAUAAAGAAAUAACAUAGUGUGUGUAUCAGGACAGGUGUUUCUGAAUUAGGGAAAGCAAGACAUUUCUACAUUAACAGAUUCAAUAGUACUGAUACUUUCAAAUGCACAAACAGGAUUCCAUCCAAUUAGAUCUUCAAAAUUCCUUUGUGAUUUAUCAACUCCUAUUUCCUACAGUUUCUCUCAUCUAAUUCCUCCUGACAGCAAAGCAAAGACAGACCAAGGUAGAUGAAAUCAGGAUUCUGAACACAUCCCUAAGAAGUUGUUAGCUCCUUAGGGUAGCCAGCGCUGAGGUUAAAGGUCUGAAAGAGAUGUUAGGCAUGCCCAUUGUUCUUCUGUUGCUGCUUAGCAGCAUCAGGUUUAUUACUGGUACAGAAAAAAAUUUUUUUUAUUUACUUCAGCACUUGUUUUCUGCAGGUAAGGAUGAAAAAAGGAAAAGGACCAUGCUAUGCAUUAAUAAAUUGUGAUGUGGUUUAAGUGGUUAUGUUAGCUAUCAGUCUAUAUACACUCACUAUAAAAACUAUUUUUAAAUGUUAUUUAUGUGCUCUGAUCCUCACCCUUAUCCUAUUUUAGUUUUUUAUGGACCCCACAUAAUUAUUUACAGAAAUAAGCCAUUCCACUAAAUUUACUUCAAUGAACAGUAAGCCUUGCAUGUAAUUGCCCAAGUUUUGCCACUCAGUAGGCGGACUCCAGGUGUCUUCACUUUCUUAUUCUAUAAAAUGGACUUAAAACAGUGGACUUAAAACAGAAUCUAUAUGAUAGGGCAUUGAACAAUUAAAUGAGUUACUAUGUGUACAGUACUCUAUAUUGUGCCUGAUAGAGUCAAAAUGAAAUCUUUUAUUACACUAAAUUAAUUUCAAAGUGUUGACAUAUAUAUCUACAAUGGUUUUAAUAAUGAUUCAUUUUGAGUACAAUUUUGAAGUUGUUACUCAGCAAUAACAGCUAAUACUUACUGAGCACUUAACAUUAACUAAGCACCCCACAUGGGGCUCUUCUCCUAACCACUAAAGAACUGGAAUCAGGUAUUUCUCCUUCUUUCCUCCAUCUUUGCCCAAAAUUAUUGAAGCAACUCCCUUCUUACUCUCUAUACUCUUCAUCUCCAAGCUGUAAAGUCAACCAACUAACCAACGAAGCAACCUACUUCUAGUCCACCUACAUACUAACUGUUGGCUUCAAAAAGGUCCAGCAAGGACCAGACUGGUGCUAGUUACUAUGAGACAUCCAACUUGGGAUCUGGCACACAAUGGGCACUCAAGCAGUAGGUGAGUGGUCAAGCAAAAACAAAACAAACAAACUUGAAUACCUACUUGCCAGCCUAUCUGAUACAAGCAGCUUUCACUAACAAAUGGGCUUUUUCAUUUUUAUAAUUUUAAAUUAAUAGAAAAAGGUUAGACAGUAAUGAAGUAGUUAAGAAUGAAGGAACUGAUCUAGGAUGAGAUCCAGGAAAUAAAAGAAUAGAGAGAAAAGCAAACCUAAUACUAUCCUACUACCAUACCAUCUCCUUACCAGACAAGGAGAAAUAAUGUACUCCUGGUCUAUAUGUAUCAGUCCCAUAUAUAAAUUGGCAGGCUGGGCUCUCCACAGGCCAAAGCAUAACGAAACUCUAAAUUUUAAAAUUUCAAUGAAAAUUUUAGAAAUAAGGUUCUUUGAUUCAUUUUAAUGUGCACUUUAAUUUGUUUUAAGCUUUUGGUAAAGCUUUCCCCCCUUUCUUUCCUUCCCUUCCUUUUUGCUUUUGAACACAGGAUUUGAGCCAAUCUCCAAGUGGGCCUAUCUGUGCAUUUGUAAGUGAAACAACUUACAUCAUGCCUAAUGAGAGUAAUUUUUUUGUCAAGCUGCAUUUCUAUGGAUAAUUUAUGACACUUCUCCCACAAUUAGUCUACAAGUAUAUAUAAAAGUAAUUUGUAAUUUAGGUUACCAAUACAAACCCCCCCCCCACACACAAAAGUGGAACACAGAAAAAAGAGACAUUUGUAAUAGCCCUGUAUUAUUUCUUAGGCAUAUACCCCCCCAAAAAAAAAUGCUUAAGCGGAAGACAAUAACAUUGUAUCGCCAUACUUUAAACAUGCUAAAAUAAUAAAGUGAAAACAUUCGUGGAAUGUAGGUUCCAGCUCUCAGUAGAAAACUAAAACAAACUCUAAGAAAAUAAAACAACAAAUCUUGGUAUUUUAAGUGCACAAAUUAAAGUUCCACCAAAUUUCACUUAAAAACUUAUCACAAUCAAAAUGAGGUCAAUUAGAAGUACUGAGCUGAAAAGUUGUCCUCAGUACAUAUUGUGGACUAACAUUUUAUAGCUGAUAAAAGAAACAAAAAAUAUAUACUGAAAUGAGAUUAGAAAAAAGUGUCAAAGGAUACACCCUGUUAGAAUUGGUUAUUUCAGAAAAGUGAUUAAAAAUAAGGGGAAGAGCAAAUGAUUCUCUCCCCUCUUUGGGUGACAUGCUUCUAUCUGUAUAAUGUGUCUUGUUAUAACAAGCUAGCACUUAUUUUAAAUAGAAGAGAACCUUAAAAGAAAAAGUGAACGAUACAGAAAAAGCGAGAUACGUUCAUAAACUCCAAGUAUUUAAUAAGAAGUCAGCCUAUUUCAAGAUGUGUUUCUAAGAUGUAAUAUUUAUUUUGCAAGUGUAACUUAAUAUUAGCAUAUUAAAUACUUAAUAAAAUUUAGUGAAUUUCCUCUAUAUCCUUCCCCCCAAAAAGAACACACUUCCCUAAACCGACUUAGCUGAAGGAUAAUAUGCUGCCCUUUCAAUAUCUUAUUAAUUUUAAAUGGGCAUACGUGUAGAUUCAUGUUCAACAGGAAAAUCCUACAAAGCAUUUCACAGGCAAAUAAAAUCCUAUUCUACAGCAUUAGUACAAAUGAAGAGAGAAAACUGGAAGAAGACCAGUUAUGAGAUUACAGAAGUAAUCUUAGUCUCAGAUAAUCAUAAUGUCCUGAGCUACAACAGGAUCAGAAAGGAUGAACAGGUAAAUGAACAGGACUUUGUAAAUGACAGGGCCAAGAAUAGAAGUGUUUGUCUCCAAGACUUUCAUUCAGGGUGACUGGGAAGACAGUGAUACCAUGAAAUAAUGUUAUAAACCUAGUAGAUAUAGGUUAUAAAGAAAAAAGAAUCACUUUAUUUAAAAAAAAAUGCCUUUCACUAUGCUAGAUUUUUUUAGAACAAAUAUCUUUAUUGGUUAGUAAAAAUUAUAAUUAAUGGCCAUAUUUUAAAGAGCAUGUAUAUCUCUGUAUUACUUCCUCAGAAUAAAAUAAUCAUAAAACCAGAAGAAAUUCUAAACAUGUUUAUGUUAUACAGAAGUCUACCAUUUAACUACCAGAACCAGCUCAGUAAGAGACAUCAAUAUGUGGAUGUCUCUUAGUCUUCCCAUGUGCCCCAUUGGACUGAUCUUUUUUUCCCUCAAGAAGAAUAAACACUGAGAUCAGAGCAAUGAAUGAGCACACUAUAAGUAACUUUAUCAGCACAGAUUCUUGUUCUGGUGAGAAUCACUAUAAAUCUACAAGUAUUGCUCUUAUUGUAGGACUGACUCAUCAACAAGGUAUUAUCAUAAGAAAUCACCACUAACAUCUAUCAAUACACCAGUUAAU
Molecule: long non-coding RNA, 3984 nt
Organism: Phyllostomus discolor (pale spear-nosed bat)
Lineage: Eukaryota; Metazoa; Chordata; Mammalia; Chiroptera; Phyllostomidae
Exons: 2
Source: RefSeq, a predicted model, not a curated record